GACGAACGCUGGCGGCGUGCUUAACACAUGCAAGUCGAACGGAAAGGCCCUGCUUUUGUGGGGUGCUCGAGUGGCGAACGGGUGAGUAACACGUGAGUAACCUGCCCUUGACUUUGGGAUAACUUCAGGAAACUGGGGCUAAUACCGGAUAUGAUCUCCUGCUGCAUGGUGGGGGUUGGAAAGUUUCGGCGGUUGGGGAUGGACUCGCGGCUUAUCAGCUUGUUGGUGGGGUAGUGGCUUACCAAGGCUUUGACGGGUAGCCGGCCUGAGAGGGUGACCGGCCACAUUGGGACUGAGAUACGGACCAGACUCCUACGGGAGGCAGCAGUGGGGAAUAUUGCACAAUGGGCGGAAGCCUGAUGCAGCAACGCCGCGUGCGGGAUGACGGCCUUCGGGUUGUAAACCGCUUUCGCCUGUGACGAAGCGUGAGUGACGGUAAUGGGUAAAGAAGCAACGGCUAACUACGUG
This 468-nucleotide ribosomal RNA is filed under the name uncultured bacterium. Its description in RNAcentral is "partial 16S ribosomal RNA". It matches the Rfam family "Bacterial small subunit ribosomal RNA", at positions 28 to 507 of the family's 1533-position model. The record is from RNAcentral.